RNAcentral lists this ribosomal RNA (531 nucleotides) under marine sediment metagenome. RNAcentral's name for it is "LSU rRNA". It matches the Rfam family "Archaeal large subunit ribosomal RNA", at positions 23 to 548 of the family's 2987-position model. The record is from RNAcentral.
UGGUGGAUAUCUUGGCUUGGGCACCGAUGAAGAGCGUGACAAGCUGCGAUAAGCUCGGGUUAGUCGCAUGUAGACGUUUACCCCGAGAUUCUCGAAUCGGACAUCCGCUUGCGGCCCAAUAAGCCGCAAGAUUCCCGUCAGGGAAAGGGAACCCUGGGAAGUAAAACAUUUUAGUACCAGGAGGAAAAGAAAACAAUCGUGAUUCCGUUAGUAACGGCGAGCGAAAGCGGAACAGAUCAAACCGAAUCCCUUGGGGAUAACCCAAGGGAGAUGUGGAGUGUGGACCUCGUACGGCCUCCCCAAAAAAGGUGAAUACCCCUGAAAAGUCGAGCCAUAGAGCGUGAUAGCCGCUUAACCGUAAUUUGGAAGGCUGCUGCGAGGUAUCCCGAGUAGUGCGGGAUAGUUUUCUCGUACGAAUGUGCCAGAUACACGCUGGCAAAUCUAAAUAUGUCCCAAGACCGAUAGUGAAAUAGUAGCGUGAGCAAAAGAUGAAAAGAAACCCGGAAGGGUCGUGAAAAGCGCUUGAAACCA